RNAcentral lists this ribosomal RNA (481 nucleotides) under Wurfbainia villosa. RNAcentral describes it as "eukaryotic LSU rRNA". The stretch from base 314 to 481 matches the Rfam family "Eukaryotic large subunit ribosomal RNA", at positions 1 to 166 of the family's 3401-position model. Lineage: Eukaryota; Viridiplantae; Streptophyta; Magnoliopsida; Zingiberales; Zingiberaceae. The record is from RNAcentral.
UGCAGAAUCUCGUGAACCAUUGAGUCUUUGAACGCAAGUUGUGCCCAAGGCUUUGUGGCCGAGGGCACGCCUGCUUGGGCGUCAUGGCAACAUCGCCUUUGCUCCUUGCUUUGCUGGUGCGAAGAGCGGAAAUUGGCCUCGUGUGCCCUCGGGCACAGUCGGUCGAAGAGCGGGUAGUCGGCAGUCGUCGGGCGCGAUGGGUGCUGGUCACCCUGCGCGUGAAUAGAACGUCGCCCCGACGUGUUGGGAUGUUUCCUCAAAGAGACCCUGUGCGAUUGCGGCAUCAUGUCAAAGUGACGUGCCCAUCGGAUUGUGGCCCCAAGUCAGGCGAGGCCCACCCGCCGAGUUUAAGCAUAUAAAUAAGCGGAGGAAGAGAAACUUACGAGGAUUCCCCUAGUAACGGCGAGUGAACCGGGAUCGGCCCAGCUUGAGAAUUUGACGGUUGAAUCCGUUCGAGUUGUAGUCUGAAAAAAAGCAAAUG